Long non-coding RNA from Amphiprion ocellaris (clown anemonefish), 667 nucleotides. RefSeq lists it as uncharacterized. Lineage: Eukaryota; Metazoa; Chordata; Actinopteri; Pomacentridae. The transcript is spliced from 2 exons. The record is from RefSeq and is a predicted model, not a curated record.
GUGGAGACGGAGCGCGAAAUGAAUGAAAGCAGAGCGCAAAAUGAAUGAAUGAAAACGGCAGACUUCAGCGUAUAACGUUUACUGUACACAACUAAAAAGAAAGACGAAGAGAAGAGAAGAGGAGUCUAAUACGAGCCCCUCUUUAGUUACAAGCAGCCUACGAGGUUCCUCUCUAUCUCCCUACACAUCCACCAACCACUGGAAGACAUCUCCAAAGUUCUGCCGGGCCAGCUCAGCUUCCCCUCAGAAGAAGUGCCGCCACCUGCCAGAUGAAGGAGCCUUUUGAGAGGCAGCUGGCAUCGUGAUUGGACUGUACUUUGGUCUGUUCCAAUCCAGCUUCAGGUCCAGAGACGGCAGGCGGGACGAGUCAACGGAGGCUGGGUGGACGAAGGCAUGCAGCUGAGUACGAUCCAGAAAACAACAGAGGACGAGUGUAGCGGCCCAGGGCCAGAACAAACAGAGUAGCAUCGUAUGACUCUUAGAAAACAUCAUAGUAUAGCCUUUGGUAUGAAAAAACGCCAUCAUAUACAUCGUAUAUUGUACAAAUAACAAGUCAAAGGAAAGAGACAUACAUUGUAGAAUUGUAGUAAUUGUGGGCUGACUGAUUUACUGAUUAUCAAUAUUUUAUUUUUUACUGAUUUACAGUAAUAAAUACAUUUAAAAAUGG